This 253-nucleotide ribosomal RNA is filed under the name uncultured bacterium. Its description in RNAcentral is "partial 16S ribosomal RNA". It matches the Rfam family "Bacterial small subunit ribosomal RNA", at positions 524 to 776 of the family's 1533-position model. The record is from RNAcentral.
UACGUAGGGUGCGAGCGUUGUCCGGAAUUAUUGGGCGUAAAGGGCUCGUAGGCGGUUUGUCGCGUCGGGAGUGAAAUCCACUGGCUUAACUGGUGGCUUGCUUUCGAUACGGGCAGACUGGAGGUAUGCAGGGGAGAACGGAAUUCCUGGUAUAGCGGUGAAAUGCGCAGAUAUCAGGAGGAACACCGGUGGCGAAGGCGGUUCUCUGGGAAUGUCCUGACGCUGAGGAGCGAAAGUGUGGGGAGCGAACAGG